CUUGCACGGCUACGGAGAGCAGAGUAGUAACCAACGUGACCAUCCCUUCUUCACAGGAGCAUUGUAUGACACGGAUGUAAACUGCGGGUGAGAGAGAAAUCUUUCGCGUGCAUAUCAUGUGGGUAGAGAUUGCUCGCCGCGGCUCAGGUCUGCUUGAGUUGAGAAAAGUCCGCACGCUGUCCUUUACAUAACCGCCCCUGCUGCUGUUUGCUGGAUCCUUCCUUAUAGCUUUUCCACAAAGUUGACGAUAAAGACCUUGCUACUACGGAAACAUGAGGAUAUUAACGUUGGUUAUUUUUCUCAUCGCAAUCGGAGUCGCCGCUCUCAUAAAGGCAUCAGGCGCUGUGGUGACGAACAACCCGGAGUGUAAGACGGACACUGACUGCGCUGCUAAUUACUGCUGCACGCGCCUGAACAGCUUAACCAUGGGUGUGUGCAGUCCUCUGCGCAUGUUAAAUCAGUUCUGCUCCCUGAAACGCGAUAUGCCGUGGAUGUGUCCCUGUGUGAUCUCAACCAGCUGCCAACCCAUCAACGCUCACGCGCACGAGGACGCCAUAUUUGGAAGCAGAGGCGCAUACGGUCGCUGCAUGUAACGCUUGUACAAAACUUGCUCUGAAUUCAGUUCCAACGUAAUUGCGUUAAAAAACAUUUCAGUGCAGUAGUGUGGAAAAAUAACACUGUUAAAUGUUGGAGUGACGAAAAGACCAGGAAUCGUCUAAUAAGCCGCGGACCACAAAGAUGAAUUAGUUAAUUAAAUGCCAACUAUAUAAUCAAUUAUUCGAAUUUAUAUCAAAAGAUCAUAAUUAUAUAUAUAUAUAUAUAUAUAUAUAUAUAUAGUAGAGAGAGAGAGAGAGAGAGAGAUUAUACCUAUAGAUUGUAUCUAUGAUUGUACCUAUAUAGAUUAUAUCGCUACAAACCGCAAGCGAUAAAGCGCACAGCGUUCCAUGUGUAUUGCUCCCCGUUAUUUGUAUUGCUAUUGCUAUGUAAUUAUGAGUAUUAGGUCGGGUAUGUCUGAAUUUCGAUUUCUUUAUUAGAUUCUAUACGUUCCGCGAUUCGACUAUUCAGCUCAUAUCUACGUGCCUGCUUCCUAUCUUGGUUGUGUAAUGAAUUUUUAUCACACUGUGUUCUUUUAAUGUGUAAUUAGGUACUUAGAAUCAUAUAUAGCGCAUUGGAUAAGAAAAAUACGAAAAUUGCAAGAGAUAAAACUCAUUUAGAUUUGAUAACCGUGAGCUUCUGUAAUCCUUUUACAUUGGCAAGAUCAUGGAAGACUGGUAUUCUUUGAAUCCAUGUUUUAUGAUCAUAGGUCGUGGUGUUUGACCAUUUGCGCAAGCAGUAUUAAAAAUAAACAAUUGCAUAGAGCAAGAUUACCUAAAUAAAGUGCAAUAAGCAUACACUCAGGGCUAAAUUAUGCGAAAAUGCAUUGAUUUUUUUAUUUUCAUUCGUAUUCGAUGGCUAACACUACGUGCCACCUCUGCACAUUUUUAUGUUACUUCAUCUAUAGAACGAUGCAUGUGAACGAACAAAUUUUCAAAGCGUUGUGAAUGCCCGCGUACGUGUCUAUAGUGUGCCGUAGCCAUUUAAACACACAUAUACUGAUGACGCCAGAGACAUGAUCAAACUAGCCUAUUCAUGGUAAAAUCUUUCAGCAUCAGGCUUUCCUACAGCCGUCCACUGUCAGUGCUAGUCAAAAUUGCCGCGCGGUCGAAAGUAGCAUUUACGCCCCGUUACAUAGCCCGGGUACAUUAGUGACCUCAUGCAGUACGCAGCGUUCGCGCGUUUCUAUUAAAAAAUGCGAGGGUAACCGCGGAAUUUCUCACAAUUUCUCAAGGUGCUGAGAACAUUUUACCAAUUUAGUGGUUUCAGUUAGUCAUGAAUAUAUCGCAGUGAGUACUAACAGUAGAUGCUUCGAUCACUUACGUUCACCCAUUCUGGACAGGCGGUCGAUCACUGUAAAAAGUAGAAAUGCGCUAAUUUCUCCGUUUUGAUUUCUGCCACACCAGCCGAUGUGUAAAUGGAUAUUUCUAUAUCGUUACAACAAUAAUUUUUAUUUCACACUCGUUUUAAUUGUAACACAUUGCUGUAAAAAAGCGCGUCAGGGUUUGGUAUUUUACUUGCACAAAUUUUCAAUCCAUAUUAUCAAUAUAAUCAAAAUCUGUAUUAAGCAGUUUUUAUAAUUUUAAAGGUAAUAUAAAACUUAAAGCGAAGAUUUAUCAUAUUAAUUAUUACUAACCGUUUUCAUAUAUUUUCUCAACCGUUCUGAUACUUACCGGUAGGUACUCCUUGACCCUUGCAUAAAGCCAAAUCUAUAUUAUUAAGGCUAACAUGUCAUAGAACACUCGCACACCAUUCUUUCUAUACCAAUAUAGGCACCGAUCUGCAUUUCAAAUGCGAUUGUUUACAUAUAUCAUAUCAUUAAACCUAGAGCGCGUCACGUAACCGCGCCUGCUGUGUCCACGGCGGCAACCGUCCCUUCGGCAUGGCAUGGAUUACUUCCCGUUACACGCGUAUUUCGAUUGCAUAACUAUGGCUUUUAGUCGCGUGUGGUUAAAUUUCUAUAUUUUUGCACAUAUAUAUUGUUGUGAUGUCAUGGAAGGUUGACCUUCCCGUUAUCGAUCGUGCACCACGUACGGUCGUGAUAUUUUUACAUUUUUGUAUGCAGUGUUACAUGUGUACAGUUGCAUAUAUAAGGCCGCAUUAUCCGAAUAUAGUGCUGUUUACUGCUGUUCACUCAUAAAUAUUUACUGUUCACGAUAUAAGAUAUAAGAUAUAAUAGUUUAUUUUAUCACUUUCAAUAUCAGCAGAUGCACGAAUUUUUUUCACAAAAUGUAAAUAAUUAACGUACAGUGAAGAGAUGGCGAAAAGACCAUACGGUCAUCUAGUCAGCCAACCCAUAGAGAAAUUAUUUAAGUAUACAGGCAUCUGUCAUAAGAAUAAGAUGUAUGAUGAGAAAUAUUUGAACAAAAUGUUUGUAUGAUAAUAAUAUAAAGAAACAAAAUUGAACAUAAUUGGCAAUAGAACAAGCGACAGACAUGAAGUUAUGUACAAAAUAUAUAUGUUAGACACAUAUAAAUGAAAUACAUGCAGUAAUCAGUACAGUACUGACUGUACAGUAAACGAAUAUUUACAUGGUAAUAAAGAAUAUGCGGCAUA
RNAcentral lists this long non-coding RNA (3150 nucleotides) under Priapulus caudatus. Its description in RNAcentral is "uncharacterized LOC106811151". The record is from RNAcentral. Lineage: Eukaryota; Metazoa; Priapulida; Priapulimorpha; Priapulimorphida; Priapulidae.